UACAGAGGGGGCAAGCGUUGUUCGGAAUUACUGGGCGUAAAGGGCGCGUAGGCGGCCUGUUAAGUCAGACGUGAAAUCCCCGGGCUCAACCCGGGAACUGCGUCUGAUACUGGUAGGCUUGAAUCCGGGAGAGGGAUGCGGAAUUCCAGGUGUAGCGGUGAAAUGCGUAGAUAUCUGGAGGAACACCGGUGGCGAAGGCGGCAUCCUGGACCGGCAUUGACGCCGAGGCGCGAAAGCCAGGGGAGCAAACGGG
Molecule: ribosomal RNA, 253 nt
Filed under: uncultured bacterium
Lineage: Bacteria
Description: partial 16S ribosomal RNA
Rfam family: Bacterial small subunit ribosomal RNA
Source: RNAcentral